RNAcentral lists this ribosomal RNA (712 nucleotides) under Salmonella enterica. Its description in RNAcentral is "partial 23S ribosomal RNA". It matches the Rfam family "Bacterial large subunit ribosomal RNA", at positions 2091 to 2802 of the family's 2925-position model. The record is from RNAcentral. Lineage: Bacteria; Pseudomonadati; Pseudomonadota; Gammaproteobacteria; Enterobacterales; Enterobacteriaceae. RNAcentral also lists the same sequence under 2 other names.
CCGUGAACCUUUACUAUAGCUUGACACUGAACAUUGAGCCUUGAUGUGUAGGAUAGGUGGGAGGCUUUGAAGUGUGGACGCCAGUCUGCAUGGAGCCGACCUUGAAAUACCACCCUUUAAUGUUUGAUGUUCUAACGUGGACCCGUGAUCCGGGUUGCGGACAGUGUCUGGUGGGUAGUUUGACUGGGGCGGUCUCCUCCUAAAGAGUAACGGAGGAGCACGAAGGUUGGCUAAUCCUGGUCGGACAUCAGGAGGUUAGUGCAAUGGCAUAAGCCAGCUUGACUGCGAGCGUGACGGCGCGAGCAGGUGCGAAAGCAGGUCAUAGUGAUCCGGUGGUUCUGAAUGGAAGGGCCAUCGCUCAACGGAUAAAAGGUACUCCGGGGAUAACAGGCUGAUACCGCCCAAGAGUUCAUAUCGACGGCGGUGUUUGGCACCUCGAUGUCGGCUCAUCACAUCCUGGGGCUGAAGUAGGUCCCAAGGGUAUGGCUGUUCGCCAUUUAAAGUGGUACGCGAGCUGGGUUUAGAACGUCGUGAGACAGUUCGGUCCCUAUCUGCCGUGGGCGCUGGAGAACUGAGGGGGGCUGCUCCUAGUACGAGAGGACCGGAGUGGACGCAUCACUGGUGUUCGGGUUGUCAUGCCAAUGGCACUGCCCGGUAGCUAAAUGCGGAAGAGAUAAGUGCUGAAAGCAUCUAAGCACGAAACUUGCCCCGA